RNAcentral lists this ribosomal RNA (1551 nucleotides) under Salmonella enterica subsp. enterica serovar Senftenberg. Its description in RNAcentral is "bacterial LSU rRNA". It matches the Rfam family "Bacterial large subunit ribosomal RNA", at positions 1278 to 2812 of the family's 2925-position model. The record is from RNAcentral. RNAcentral also lists the same sequence under 7 other names. Lineage: Bacteria; Pseudomonadati; Pseudomonadota; Gammaproteobacteria; Enterobacterales; Enterobacteriaceae.
GGUAUCAGAAGUGCGAAUGCUGACAUAAGUAACGAUAAAGCGGGUGAAAAGCCCGCUCGCCGGAAGACCAAGGGUUCCUGUCCAACGUUAAUCGGGGCAGGGUGAGUCGACCCCUAAGGCGAGGCCGAAAGGCGUAGUCGAUGGGAAACGGGUUAAUAUUCCCGUACUUGGUGUUACUGCGAAGGGGGGACGGAGAAGGCUAUGUUGGCCGGGCGACGGUUGUCCCGGUUUAAGCGUGUAGGUGUGUGUUCCAGGUAAAUCCGGUUCACUUUAACACUGAGGCGUGACGACGAGGCACUACGGUGCUGAAGCAACAAAUGCCCUGCUUCCAGGAAAAGCCUCUAAGCAUCAGGUAACAUCAAAUCGUACCCCAAACCGACACAGGUGGUCAGGUAGAGAAUACCAAGGCGCUUGAGAGAACUCGGGUGAAGGAACUAGGCAAAAUGGUGCCGUAACUUCGGGAGAAGGCACGCUGACACGUAGGUGAAGUGAUUUACUCAUGGAGCUGAAGUCAGUCGAAGAUACCAGCUGGCUGCAACUGUUUAUUAAAAACACAGCACUGUGCAAACACGAAAGUGGACGUAUACGGUGUGACGCCUGCCCGGUGCCGGAAGGUUAAUUGAUGGGGUCAGCGCAAGCGAAGCUCCUGAUCGAAGCCCCGGUAAACGGCGGCCGUAACUAUAACGGUCCUAAGGUAGCGAAAUUCCUUGUCGGGUAAGUUCCGACCUGCACGAAUGGCGUAAUGAUGGCCAGGCUGUCUCCACCCGAGACUCAGUGAAAUUGAACUCGCUGUGAAGAUGCAGUGUACCCGCGGCAAGACGGAAAGACCCCGUGAACCUUUACUAUAGCUUGACACUGAACAUUGAGCCUUGAUGUGUAGGAUAGGUGGGAGGCUUUGAAGUGUGGACGCCAGUCUGCAUGGAGCCGACCUUGAAAUACCACCCUUUAAUGUUUGAUGUUCUAACGUGGACCCGUAAUCCGGGUUGCGGACAGUGUCUGGUGGGUAGUUUGACUGGGGCGGUCUCCUCCUAAAGAGUAACGGAGGAGCACGAAGGUUGGCUAAUCCUGGUCGGACAUCAGGAGGUUAGUGCAAUGGCAUAAGCCAGCUUGACUGCGAGCGUGACGGCGCGAGCAGGUGCGAAAGCAGGUCAUAGUGAUCCGGUGGUUCUGAAUGGAAGGGCCAUCGCUCAACGGAUAAAAGGUACUCCGGGGAUAACAGGCUGAUACCGCCCAAGAGUUCAUAUCGACGGCGGUGUUUGGCACCUCGAUGUCGGCUCAUCACAUCCUGGGGCUGAAGUAGGUCCCAAGGGUAUGGCUGUUCGCCAUUUAAAGUGGUACGCGAGCUGGGUUUAGAACGUCGUGAGACAGUUCGGUCCCUAUCUGCCGUGGGCGCUGGAGAACUGAGGGGGGCUGCUCCUAGUACGAGAGGACCGGAGUGGACGCAUCACUGGUGUUCGGGUUGUCAUGCCAAUGGCACUGCCCGGUAGCUAAAUGCGGAAGAGAUAAGUGCUGAAAGCAUCUAAGCACGAAACUUGCCCCGAGAUGAGUUCU